This 257-nucleotide non-coding RNA is filed under the name Butyrivibrio sp. RNAcentral describes it as "T-box sequence". It matches the Rfam family "T-box leader". From Rfam's summary of the family: Uncharged tRNA acts as the effector for transcription antitermination of genes in the T-box leader family. The record is from RNAcentral. Lineage: Bacteria; Bacillati; Bacillota; Clostridia; Lachnospirales; Lachnospiraceae.
GGAAACACUGUGAAGGAAAGAGUAGGUAUGGAAGGACAUCUACAGAGAACUGCCGGUUGCUGAGAGGCAGGGUGGAGGACAUAUCGAACAUGGCUCCGGAGUGGCGCACCGAACAGCAUGGCUGCAAGGCUGCGACAGGAACGCCUGUUAUAGCGGGAAUGUAUCGGGAAAUGCACCUGUACAUUGUGAGGUCCGUUCUGCGAGGAACGGAUGAAGAGAAGUGGUACCACGGAUUAAGAUUAUAACCCGUCUUCUGA